AUCCAGCUAACGAGUUCCAAAUGGGACGAAACACGCGCCCUGGAU
This is a non-coding RNA of Schistosoma curassoni, 45 nucleotides long. NCBI's taxonomy places the organism in Eukaryota, Metazoa, Platyhelminthes, Trematoda, Strigeidida, Schistosomatidae. The record is from Rfam.